Molecule: ribosomal RNA, 307 nt
Filed under: uncultured bacterium
Lineage: Bacteria
Description: bacterial SSU rRNA
Rfam family: Bacterial small subunit ribosomal RNA
Source: RNAcentral
GAUGAACGCUGGCGGCGCGCCUAACACAUGCAAGUCGAACGGUGACGAGGACUUCGGUCCUCUGAUCAGUGGCGGACGGGUGAGUAACGCGUGAGUAACCUGCCCUUAUGAGUGGAAUAACGUCUGGAAACGGACGCUAAUACCGCAUAAUGCAUCGGGAAGACAUCUUCCUGAUGCCAAAGAUUUAUCGCAUAAGGAUGGACUCGCGUCUGAUUAGAUAGUUGGUGGGGUAACGGCCUACCAAGUCGACGAUCAGUAGCCGGACUGAGAGGUUGAACGGCCACAUUGGAACUGAGAAACGGUCCAG